GAUGAACGCUGGCGGCGUGCCUAACACAUGCAAGUCGAGCGAUUCUCUUCGGAGAAGAGCGGCGGACGGGUGAGUAACGCGUGGGUAACCUGCCCUGUACACACGGAUAACAUACCGAAAGGUAUGCCAAUACGAGAUAAUAUACUUUUAUCGCAUGGUAGAAGUAUCAAAGCUUUUGCGGUACAGGAUGGACCCGCGUCUGAUUAGCUAGUUGGUAAGGUAACGGCUUACCAAGGCGACGAUCAGUAGCCGACCUGAGAGGGUGAUCGGCCACAUUGGAACUGAGACACGGUCCAAACUCCUACGGGAGGCAGCAGUGGGGAAUAUUGCACAAUGGGCGAAAGCCUGGUGCAGCAACGCCGCGUGAGCGAUGAAGGCCUUCGGGUCGUAAAGCUCUGUCCUCAAGGAAGAUAAUGACGGUACUUGAGGAGGAAGCCCCGGCUAACUACGUGCCAGCAGCCGCGGUAAUACGUAGGGGGCUAGCGUUAUCCGGAAUUACUGGGCGUAAAGGGUGCGUAGGUGGUUUCUUAAGUCAGAGGUGAAAGGCUACGGCUCAACCGUAGUAAGCCUUUGAAACUGGGGAACUUGAGUGCAGGAGAGGAGAGUGGAAUUCCUAGUGUAGCGGUGAAAUGCGUAGAUAUUA
This 643-nucleotide ribosomal RNA is filed under the name uncultured Clostridium sp. RNAcentral describes it as "bacterial SSU rRNA". It matches the Rfam family "Bacterial small subunit ribosomal RNA", at positions 28 to 699 of the family's 1533-position model. Lineage: Bacteria; Bacillati; Bacillota; Clostridia; Eubacteriales; Clostridiaceae. The record is from RNAcentral.